RNAcentral lists this ribosomal RNA (492 nucleotides) under uncultured bacterium. RNAcentral's name for it is "partial 16S ribosomal RNA". It matches the Rfam family "Bacterial small subunit ribosomal RNA", at positions 29 to 507 of the family's 1533-position model. The record is from RNAcentral.
AGUGAACGCUGGCGGUAGGCCUAACACAUGCAAGUCGAACGGCAGCACAGUAAGAGCUUGCUCUUACGGGUGGCGAGUGGCGGACGGGUGAGGAAUACAUCGGAAUCUACUUUUUCGUGGGGGAUAACGUAGGGAAACUUACGCUAAUACCGCAUACGACCUACGGGUGAAAGCAGGGGAUCUUCGGACCUUGCGCGAUUGAAUGAGCCGAUGUCGGAUUAGCUAGUUGGCGGGGUAAAGGCCCACCAAGGCGACGAUCCGUAGCUGGUCUGAGAGGAUGAUCGGCCACACUAGAGCUGAACCACGGUCCAGACUCCUGCGGGAGGCAGCAGUGGGGAAUAUUGGACAAUGGGCGCAAGCCUGAUCCAGCCAUACCGCGUGGGUGAAGAAGGCCUUCGGGUUGUAAAGCCCUUUUGUUGGGAAAGAAAGGCAGCAGGUUAAUACCCCGCUGUUCUGACGGUACCCAAAGAAUAAGCACCGGCUAACUUCGUG